RNAcentral lists this antisense RNA (75 nucleotides) under Frankia sp. Hr75.2. Its description in RNAcentral is "ASpks". It matches the Rfam family "ASpks TB sRNA". Lineage: Bacteria; Bacillati; Actinomycetota; Actinomycetes; Frankiales; Frankiaceae. The record is from RNAcentral.
UUUGAUCGACCCCAACCAUAGCGGGCUUUCCGCCCGCCGGUCCUGACCAUAGGUCGCCAGCACGGCCUGCACUUC